This 483-nucleotide ribosomal RNA is filed under the name Accumulibacter sp. Its description in RNAcentral is "bacterial SSU rRNA". It matches the Rfam family "Bacterial small subunit ribosomal RNA", at positions 1 to 479 of the family's 1533-position model. The record is from RNAcentral. Lineage: Bacteria; Pseudomonadati; Pseudomonadota; Betaproteobacteria.
UUGAACUGAAGAGUUUGAUCCUGGCUCAGAUUGAACGCUGGCGGCAUGCCUUACACAUGCAAGUCGAACGGUAGCGCGGGGUAACCUGGCGACGAGUGGCGAACGGGUGAGUAAUGCAUCGGAACGUGCCCUGGAAUGGGGGAUAACGUAGCGAAAGUUACGCUAAUACCGCAUAUUCUGUGAGCAGGAAAGCAGGGGAUCGCAAGACCUUGCGUUCUGGGAGCGGCCGAUGUCGGAUUAGCUAGUUGGUGGGGUAAUGGCCUACCAAGGCGACGAUCCGUAGCGGGUCUGAGAGGAUGAUCCGCCACACUGGGACUGAGACACGGCCCAGACUCCUACGGGAGGCAGCAGUGGGGAAUUUUGGACAAUGGGCGGAAGCCUGAUCCAGCCAUGCCGCGUGAGUGAAGAAGGCCUUCGGGUUGUAAAGCUCUUUCGGUGGGGAAGAAAUUGCACGGGCUAAUAUCCUGUGUAGAUGACGGUACC